Molecule: unclassified non-coding RNA, 1308 nt
Filed under: Hevea brasiliensis (rubber tree)
Lineage: Eukaryota; Viridiplantae; Streptophyta; Magnoliopsida; Malpighiales; Euphorbiaceae
Source: RNAcentral
GGAAACUUGAAGAUGGAAUUACAAAACCCGAUAAAGUAUUAUACGAAUCCAUCAAAAGGGGGUAACUAUCAACUAUUGUUAUAACAGGAUGGGUUCCAUCUACAGUUGCACAGCUAUAGCUCGUAGCGGUUGAGCCUUCUGCAAGGUGAUGCCAAACUUAUCUUCCAUGUCCAUGCUCUCUUUUGUAAUUCCAUCUUCAAGUUUCCAGUCAAAGGAAUUAAUAAGUGACCCCAACAUUAAAUGCAACAUUCUGAUUGCCAAUGGCAAUCCAGGGCAAAUUCUCCGUCCAGCACCAAAAGGGAUAAGCUCAAAAUCACGCCCUCGAACAUCCAUAUCCAACCCCAAGAAUCUCUCCGGCAGAAAUGUGUCUGGAUCCUCCCAUAGACUUGGGUCUCUACCUAUGGCCCAUGCAUUGACCAACACUUGAGCAUCUUUAGGCACCGUGAAGCCACAAAUUUCUACAUCUGCCCCUGCUUUGUGGGGGACUAGUAAGGGAACUGCUGGAUGCAAUCUGAAGUUUUCUUUGAUAAUUGCUUUCAGGUAAGGUAACUUAGCAAUGUCUGAUUCCUGUAACAAGUUGCCUUUGCCAAUUAUCUGCUCAAUCUCCUCUCUAGCUCUCAUUAAAGUCUUGGGGUUGCGUAGAAGUUCUGUCAUCGCCCACUCCAAUGUGCUUGAAGUUGUAUCAGUCCCAGCAACAAAUAGGUCCAAGAAUAAACAUUUCAUGCAGUUUGUAUCUAUCUCUUUGUUGUGCUCAUUGAGGGCGAGAAGAGUGUCAAGCACGUCGUUUGCUGGGAUAUACCCCUGCUUUUUCCUUAAUUGCAACCGUUGAUCAAUUAUACGAUCAAACAGAUCAAGUAUCUUCCCGAAAUGAAUGGUCAUGCGACGCCUGAUACCUUGUGGGUCAAUACUUCUGAGCAUAGGGAAAUAAUCUGCCAAGUUCGGUUUUCCGGCCUCUUCCAUGAUGCACCUCACAACCUCCUUGAACUCCCUUACAGUAUCCGAACUUGAAUCAGACAAAUCCAGAGAAAAAAUAUUAGUCGACAGGACAUCAAGUGUAGCUUUGAAAGCUAUUUGGCCAACAUCUACUGCGGCACCUACACGGCAACUUUCUUGAACAUCAGCAAGAAGGUCUUGAAUUUUCUUAAGCCGGAUGUCUUGGUUAGCAUCUAGUUUCUGAUUGGCAAAGAUGUAAGAGUUGCAAAUUUUUCUAAGAUUUCUCCAACGAGCCCCAACAGGUAGCCAAACCACCGAUUCUUGGUGGUGUUUAUGCGCAUGGAUUGCCUGAGCAACAGUUCGGUCAGAGAAAGU